GGUAGGUAGCUCAGUUGGUAGAGCGCCGGACUGAAAAUCCGUAGGUCGCCGGUUCAACCCCGGCCCUGCC
Molecule: transfer RNA, 70 nt
Filed under: bovine gut metagenome
Rfam family: tRNA
About the family: Transfer RNA (tRNA) molecules are approximately 80 nucleotides in length. Their secondary structure includes four short double-helical elements and three loops (D, anti-codon, and T loops).
Source: RNAcentral